Molecule: ribosomal RNA, 468 nt
Filed under: uncultured bacterium
Lineage: Bacteria
Description: partial 16S ribosomal RNA
Rfam family: Bacterial small subunit ribosomal RNA
Source: RNAcentral
GACGAACGCUGGCGGCGUGCUUAACACAUGCAAGUCGAACGGAAAGGCCCUGCUUUUGUGGGGUGCUCGAGUGGCGAACGGGUGAGUAACACGUGAGUAACCUGCCCUUGACUUUGGGAUAACUUCAGGAAACUGGGGCUAAUACCGGAUAGGAGCUCCUUCUGCAUGGUGGGGGUUGGAAAGUUUCGGCGGUUGGGGAUGGACUCGCGGCUUAUCAGCUUGUUGGUGGGGUAGUGGCUUACCAAGGCUUUGACGGGUAGCCGGCCUGAGAGGGUGACCGGCCACAUUGGGACUGAGAUACGGCCCAGACUCCUACGGGAGGCAGCAGUGGGGAAUAUUGCACAAUGGGCGGAAGCCUGAUGCAGCAACGCCGCGUGCGGGAUGACGGCCUUCGGGUUGUAAACCGCUUUCGCCUGUAACGAAGCGUGAGUGACGGUAAUGGGUAAAGAAGCACCGGCUAACUACGUG